This 274-nucleotide ribosomal RNA is filed under the name uncultured bacterium. Its description in RNAcentral is "partial 16S ribosomal RNA". It matches the Rfam family "Bacterial small subunit ribosomal RNA", at positions 523 to 796 of the family's 1533-position model. The record is from RNAcentral.
AUACAGAGGGUGCAAGCGUUAUUCGGAAUUACUGGGCGUAAAGCGCGCGUAGGCGGAUGAUUAAGUCAGUUGUGAAAGCCCUGGGCUCAACCUAGGAACUGCAUCUGAUACUGGUCGUCUAGAGUUUAAGAGAGGGAAGUGGAAUUCCAGGUGUAGCAGUGAAAUGCGUAGAUAUCUGGAGGAACAUCAGUGGCGAAGGCGACUUCCUGGCUUAAAACUGACGCUGAGGUGCGAAAGCGUGGGUAGCGAACGGGAUCAGAUACCCUAGUAGUCC